RNAcentral lists this ribosomal RNA (570 nucleotides) under soil fungal sp. DM2-270. Its description in RNAcentral is "eukaryotic LSU rRNA". It matches the Rfam family "Eukaryotic large subunit ribosomal RNA", at positions 141 to 733 of the family's 3401-position model. The record is from RNAcentral. Lineage: Eukaryota; Fungi.
AGUUGUAAUUUGUAGAGGAUGCUUUUGGUGAGGUGCCGCCCGAGUUCCCUGGAACGGGACGCCACAGAGGGUGAGAGCCCCGUCUGGCUGGCCGCCGAGCCUCUGUAAAGCUCCUUCGACGAGUCGAGUAGUUUGGGAAUGCUGCUCAAAAUGGGAGGUAUAUGUCUUCUAAAGCUAAAUAUUGGCCAGAGACCGAUAGCGCACAAGUAGAGUGAUCGAAAGAUGAAAAGCACCUUGAAAAGAGGGUUAAAUAGUACGUGAAAUUGUUGAAAGGGAAGCGCUUGUGACCAGACUUGGGCGCGGCGGAUCAUCCGGGGUUCUCUCCGGUGCACUUCGCCGCGUCUAGGCCAGCAUCAGUUCGUCGCGGGGGAAAAAGGCUUCGGGAACGUGGCUCCUCCGGGAGUGUUAUAGCCCGUUGCAUAAUACCCUGCGGUGGACUGAGGACCGCGCAUCUGCAAGGAUGCUGGCGUAAUGGUCACCAGCGACCCGUCUUGAAACACGGACCAAGGAGUCGUCUUCGUAUGCGAGUGUUCGGGUGUCAAACCCCUACGCGUAAUGAAAGUGAACGCA